AUUGAACGCUGGCGGCAGGCCUAACACAUGCAAGUCGAGCGGAUGAAGGGAGCUUGCUCCUGGAUUCAGCGGCGGACGGGUGAGUAAUGCCUAGGAAUCUGCCUGGUAGUGGGGGAUAACGUCCGGAAACGGGCGCUAAUACCGCAUACGUCCUGAGGGAGAAAGUGGGGGAUCUUCGGACCUCACGCUAUCAGAUGAGCCUAGGUCGGAUUAGCUAGUUGGUGGGGUAAAGGCCUACCAAGGCGACGAUCCGUAACUGGUCUGAGAGGAUGAUCAGUCACACUGGAACUGAGACACGGUCCAGACUACUACGGGAGGCAGCAGUGGGGAAUAUUGGACAAUGGGCGAAAGCCUGAUCCAGCCAUGCCGCGUGUGUGAAGAAGGUCUUCUGAUUGUAAAGCACUUUAAGUUGGGAGGAAGGGCAGUAAGUUAAUACCUUGCUGUUUUGACGUUACCAACAGAAUAAGCACCGGCUAACUUCGUG
RNAcentral lists this ribosomal RNA (484 nucleotides) under uncultured bacterium. Its description in RNAcentral is "partial 16S ribosomal RNA". It matches the Rfam family "Bacterial small subunit ribosomal RNA", at positions 30 to 507 of the family's 1533-position model. The record is from RNAcentral.